GUGCUCGCUUUGGCAGCACAUAUACUAAAAUUGGAACGAUAGAGGAGAUUAGCAUGGCCCCUGCACAGGGAUGACACACAAAUUCAUGAAGCGUUCCAUAUUUUU
Molecule: small nuclear RNA, 105 nt
Filed under: Jaculus jaculus (lesser Egyptian jerboa)
Lineage: Eukaryota; Metazoa; Chordata; Mammalia; Rodentia; Dipodidae
Source: RNAcentral